Molecule: small nucleolar RNA, 67 nt
Organism: Clarias gariepinus (North African catfish)
Lineage: Eukaryota; Metazoa; Chordata; Actinopteri; Siluriformes; Clariidae
Product: small nucleolar RNA SNORD58
Exons: 1
Source: RefSeq, a predicted model, not a curated record
CUGCAAUGAUGACUUCUUAGGACACCUUUGGAUGAAUAAUGAAAAGAAUCAACAUUUCCUGAGCAGC